UACGAAGGGGGCUAGCGUUGCUCGGAAUCACUGGGCGUAAAGGGUGCGUAGGCGGGUCUUUAAGUCAGGGGUGAAAUCCUGGAGCUCAACUCCAGAACUGCCUUUGAUACUGAGGAUCUUGAGUUCGGGAGAGGUGAGUGGAACUGCGAGUGUAGAGGUGAAAUGCGUAGAGAUCGUAAGGAAGACCAGUGGCGAAGGCGGGUCUCUGGACAGUUCCUGACACUGAGGCACGAAGGCCAGGGGAGCAAACGGG
Molecule: ribosomal RNA, 253 nt
Filed under: uncultured bacterium
Lineage: Bacteria
Description: partial 16S ribosomal RNA
Rfam family: Bacterial small subunit ribosomal RNA
Source: RNAcentral